AAGAGUUUCAAAGCUGACGUUUCGAGCGCUAGCCCUUCGCUCCUAUUACCAUUAGUAAUUUUUUUACCCAGAAAUUGUAACGUUUUGUUCUGGAGACAUUAUGUAACUCGAGUGGAAGUUUCCCCUUUUCGAUAGUCUAACGGUGACAAAAUUCCAGGCAUAAGCGUUCUUGAUGUGUUAUUCACAUUACAUUGUGAUUUUCGUUUUUCUCAACAGUCUCCGUUCGCCGGUGAAGACGAAGAAGAUCUAUUUGACUCCAUCUGCCGCGACAGAGUUCAUUAUCCGAAAUGGAUCUCACAACCUGCAGAAGAUUGCUUGAGCCAGCUCUUUGAAAGGACUCCAAUGGAGAGGCUUGGCUACAGAAAUGGAACCAACCCGGCCAUACGAAAUCACAAGUUUUUCGAGCGCAUUGAUUGGGUUAAGCUUGAAGACAGGAGACUAACCCCGCCAUUCAAACCCAAUGUGGGUUCAGACCACGAUACGAAUAAUUUUGAUCCCGAUUUCACUAUGGAAGCACCACGCUUCACUCCAACAGACAAAGAUUUGCUGCAGUCAAUGGACCAGGGACAAUUCCGAGGAUUCUCGUUUGUAAAUCCUUACUUUGGUACACAGCACUAACUCUAAGACUCUAAAGGAACCAUUUCGCCUUGUGUGCGAAAUCAUUACCAACUGUGUUGCUGAAAAUUUGGCUGUGUUUUUCAUCCUUCCGGAGUUAUCCUUGAUCCGCUUAAAAUAGUUCUAGAAAAAAAAAUCCUUAAAAAAUAAGACGCUGGAAAGAAUUUACUACCUUUAGUCAUUGAAAAUAUCCGCCUGCGAAUUAAGUUUCACUUCGUGUUCGAGUGUCACUCGAAAUCUUUAUCUACGAAUCAUCCACUUUGCAGCUCGCUCCUCUUUUGCUUUGAUAUUCUGCAGCUUGAAAAGAAAACCUUAAAAAAAGUACCGGCAGAAAUUUCAUUAAUUUUGAAUCAGAACCAAGUCGUUCCGCCAACCGAAACUACUGCGAGAUUUUCACGCUACAUGGUAAACUUUCCGUGUUCGUCAAUUCGAGUCCGUGUCAAACCUUUUUGGUUUGUGUUAUCGAUUUUUCUAUUUAACUUCUAAACAGAUUAGUAUUUUGUGCUUGCUUUCUUGUCAAGUUUGUAAUCGUUAAUUGUGAUCAGAAGAUCUUGACAAAGCUACUUUUGUGAGUUGUAGAUAUUCAACUAGACUUAGCUGUUCCCGAUGAAGCAAAAGUUUCUGAAAUACGACGUGAAAGUUCCGCGUAUGGAACAUCGUAAACAGAAGCAGGUUCUCGUCAUUGGGGCCUCGGCAUGAGUGUUUCUUCGCUAGCGGGAAAGUAUGAGGCCUUAAGCAACGAGAGGUCUGCAAUAGGUCUGGUAUUGAUAUUGAGGCUCGUUAUCAGUGCCAGUCCCUCAGCAUACCUCUUGUCUCCAAUCUCUUCCCGCGAGCAAAGAAACGCGCGUCCUGCAAUGCUUUGAUGCGUAUGCGCAUUUCAUAGCCUGCUCCCAGGCUAUAAAAAUUCACCAUAGUUGGUAUAUAGUCCUUUAGCGCAGCCUAUGAGUCUUCUCUUUCGUUCGUUAUUUCUACUUUAGAUUCUUAGUAAAGUGAAUUUGUCUCAA
Molecule: long non-coding RNA, 1619 nt
Organism: Stylophora pistillata
Lineage: Eukaryota; Metazoa; Cnidaria; Anthozoa; Scleractinia; Pocilloporidae
Source: RefSeq, a predicted model, not a curated record